This is an RNA transcript of Marmota monax (woodchuck), 7194 nucleotides long. It is a transcript of the gene named phosphatidylinositol-4-phosphate 5-kinase type 1 gamma, with no coding region annotated. Lineage: Eukaryota; Metazoa; Chordata; Mammalia; Rodentia; Sciuridae. The transcript has 18 exons. The record is from RefSeq and is a predicted model, not a curated record.
CGGCGGCGCUUGUUGUUCAGCGGCGGCGGCCGAGCUCGGCUGCUGCUUCGGGCCUCGCCGCCGCCGGUCCGCACGCGGACAUGGAGCUGGAGGUGCCGGACGAGGCGGAGAGUGCCGAGGCGGGGGCCGUGCCCGCGGAGGCGGCCUGGUCGUCGGACAGCGGGGCGACGUCAGGCUCGGCGCACAAGAAGUCGGGCUCGUCCGAGGCCCCAUCAGUGACAGGACAGCCCGGCCCUGGCCACGGGAAGAAGCUGGGUCAUCGAGGCGUAGACGCAUCUGGAGAGACCACCUACAAGAAGACCACCUCCUCCACCCUGAAGGGGGCCAUCCAGCUGGGCAUCGGCUACACCGUGGGCAACCUGAGCUCCAAGCCCGAGCGGGAUGUGCUCAUGCAGGACUUCUACGUGGUGGAGAGCAUCUUCUUCCCCAGUGAAGGCAGCAACCUCACCCCCGCCCACCACUUCCAGGACUUCCGGUUCAAGACCUACGCGCCCGUGGCCUUCCGCUACUUCCGGGAGCUCUUUGGGAUCCGGCCUGACGACUACUUGUACUCCCUGUGCAACGAGCCACUCAUUGAGCUGUCCAACCCGGGCGCCAGCGGCUCCCUGUUCUACGUCACCAGUGACGACGAGUUCAUCAUCAAGACUGUCAUGCACAAGGAGGCCGAGUUCCUGCAGAAGCUGCUGCCCGGCUACUACAUGAACCUGAACCAGAACCCGCGGACGCUGCUGCCCAAGUUCUACGGGCUGUACUGCGUGCAGUCGGGGGGCAAGAACAUCCGCGUGGUGGUCAUGAACAACGUGCUGCCGCGCGUGGUCAAGAUGCACCUCAAGUUCGACCUCAAGGGCUCCACAUACAAGCGGCGGGCCAGCAGGAAGGAGAAGGAGAAGAGCGCGCCCACCUACAAGGACCUGGACUUCAUGCAGGACAUGCCCGAGGGGCUGCUGCUGGACACUGACACCUUCAGCGCCCUGGUCAAGACGCUGCAGCGGGACUGCUUGGUGCUGGAGAGCUUCAAGAUCAUGGAUUACAGCCUGCUGCUCGGCGUGCACAACAUCGACCAGCAGGAGCGGGAGCGGCAGGCCGAGGGCGCCCAGGGCAGCACGGACGAGAAGCGGCCCGUGGGCCAGAAGGCGCUGUACUCCACAGCCAUGGAGUCCAUCCAGGGCGGGGCUGCCCGCGGCGAGGCCAUCGAGACCGAUGACACGAUGGGCGGCAUCCCUGCCGUGAAUGGCCGCGGGGAGCGGCUGCUGCUGCACGUGGGCAUCAUCGACAUCCUGCAGUCCUACAGGUUCAUCAAGAAGCUGGAGCACACCUGGAAGGCCCUGGUUCACGAUGGGGACACGGUGUCCGUCCACCGCCCCAGCUUCUACGCAGAGCGCUUCUUCAAGUUCAUGAGCAACACCGUCUUUCGGAAGAACUCCUCCCUCAAGUCCUCACCUUCCAAGAAGGGCCGAGGUGCCUUGCUGGCCGUGAAGCCCCUGGGGCCCAGUGCCGCCUUCUCCGCCAGCCAGAUCCCCAGUGAGCGGGAGGACGGGCAGUAUGACCUGCGGGGCGCCCGCAGCUACCCCACGCUGGAGGAUGAAGGCCGGCCUGACCUCCUGCCUUGCACGCCACCCUCUUUUGAGGAGGCCACCACAGCCUCCAUCGCCACAACCCUGUCAUCCACCUCCCUCUCCAUCCCUGAGCGGUCCCCCUCAGAGUCAUCGGAGCAGCCUCGGUACAGGCGGCGCACGCAGUCCUCUGGACAGGAUGGCCGGCCCCAGCAGGAGCCGCACGUGGAGGAGGACCUGCAGCAGAUCACGGUGCAGGUGGAGCCUGCGUGUGGCGUGGAGAUGGCGCUCCCCAAGGAGGAGGACGCGGGGGUGGAGGCCUCCUUGGCCUGUGCAUCUGCCACCACCGUGGAGGUGGAGACCGCCAGCCAGGCCUCGGAACCCGCCAGCCAGGCCUCGGACGAGGAGGACACGCCUGCUGCGGACAUCUACUUCUUCACCGAUGGGAGGUACUGGAUUUACUCUCCCCGCCAUCGCCGACUGCGGGCCGUGAUGCCGAGCCCCUCGGGGACUGUAAGUGACCGCAGCUGGCCCCUGGGGAGAGGGGCCUCGCCCACUUUGGGGCAGCAGGGAGCUGCAGGUCCCCGACAGAAACACGUCCUUUCUUUCCUCGGAGGAUUUAGGAAAAGGGCAGGAGGUUGUGGCAGCCAGGCUUGCCCCCAGGGCGCCCUGCUGGGUGUGGGUCGUGGGAAUGUCACCUAGUCCCAGAUCAAGCGGGCACUGAAGAGAGUGCCUGUCUGCGGGUCUGUCCUGUGGGCCACAGGGGGUCCACUCCAACUCCGGCCUGCCUUGCCCCCCCCAGCCCUCUUGUCACGCGGUAGGUGGCCUCUUGUCACCACCCAGCCUCGCCGGUGAGGGCGGUUGGGGCCAGCAGGGCAGCUGCAGAACUGGCCCCUAACUGCAGCCCGUUGAAGUGUGCAUCUCACAGGGGCAGAGGCCAGCUCCCCAGAGGGCCCACCACAGCUCAAGGCUCAGGUCCUAGACUCAGUGCUCACUGGUCACUAGGCACUCGCCCCCCACGUCUGGGAUGCCACACAGAUGUUAGGUAGCCAGGGUGUCACUGUCCCCGAGAGGCUGAGUCGCCCACUCAGAGCUGCACGGCACUUGCUCGGCCAGCUCAGGCGUAGACCUGAGAGCUCGUUCUGCAGCUGGAGCCCCUCGGGGCUGCCCAGCCCUGUCAGCAAACCCCCUGGGUGUGGCUGUGCACUGGGCCCGUCCUCUGCCCGGCAGUCUUGGUGUCCAGCUGAGCCAGCAGUGGUGAGCAGGGACGCCACACCCCUGAGUAAGCUGCCGCCCGAGGCUUCGGCUGGGGGCUGGAUGCACCCAGCAGCCACGAGGGCCUCAGGGCCCUGGGUUUGGAGAGGUGGGAAAGGAAGGGGCUGGCAGGGGACAUGGUGGAAGCAACAGGUGGCGGCUAGAUGGUGGGGGGCACCCAGAGCUAGAGGAGCCGGAGGGACGGUCACCCGGGGUCCUGGCCACUUGGCCAGCUGGCAGCUGCAGGGCCCCUCUGUCCCACUUCUGGAGAAUGGGAAGCUGGCUGCGCUGCCUUUCUAAGGUGGCCACCGAGUGUCUACUGCCAGGGACCCCUCCCAGGAGCAGCGUGGCCUGCAGGGCUUGGGGCUGCUGCCAGCCUCCCUCCCAGGGUUGGCCCUUCUGGGCCUUAGGUGGAGACCCUCCUCCGAUCCCCGCUGCUGGACCCCAGCCGGUGCUGGUGGAGCUGGCGGCUCUGUCACCAGCCCAGUACCUGACACAGCUGUGGGGCCUGAGCUGGUUCCCAGGGCUGGAGGCGGCUCCAGAAGUCGGGGCCUUUGCAACUCCGUGGAGCCUGGAGGCCCCUACUGGGCCAGGCCACUGAGCAGGGGUCGCUGCCCACAGUUCCCAGCAGCCGGGGCAGUUCACAUGGCAACGGGAUCGGGCAGGAGUCGUAGUUGAGUGGGCAGAGGGGCCUUCUGGGUGGAGGGGGCCUCGCGGGGCCAGGUGGCGGGUGCAGGAGCCCUGGGGCAGAGCCAGAGCAGGUCAGGCCGGGUCAGCCAGCGCACUGGGCCACAUGCUGGCGCCGGCCCUUGCCGUUCACAGACAAGGAAGCAGCAGGCCCUGGACAAGAGGGUGGGCAGGUCCCGGCAGUGAUGGGCCUGGGGCAGCGUGUGGGCUGUGGCUGUGAGCUUAGGGGUCAGCCGGGGGACUGCCAGAGAGCACGGCCAGGUAGGCUCGUGUUUGGGGCUGGGAGCCGCCCAGAGGGUCCUGGAAGGCCAGGUGGCGAGGGAGGCCCUGGCGGGGAGGGAAGGAGAAGGCCCUAGAACAUUGGAGCCAGGCCCCUGGAGCUGGAGCCGACUCUGCAGGGACAGGGAUGGGCACCCUCCCUCCUCCAGACCCUUCCCCGACACAGCCAGGCCCGGGUGGCCCAGCAGAGGCCAGAGUGCAGCUCCGCCUGGCCCAGCCCUGGGCCUAGCUCACUGGGACCCAUGCCCCUGAAGGGCAUCCUUGUGCCCCAAGGAAAGUCCUGUGCCUGGGGCAGCCUGAGCUCGUGGGUGCCACCGAUGUUCAGGUGCUGACCGUCCUCUGCAUGGUCCAGAAACAGGUCGGCGCUCAGAGCGCCCAGGACCUUCCGUGAGGGUCCCCGGGACCCUGGUGCCUGUGGCAGGUGGGGGAGGCUGAGAGGAGCCCCUGCUAAGACAGAGGCCAGGCUGCACACGGCGCCCCCUCCUGUCCCCUGCUGUCUCGGCCACCUCAACUGAGCUCACCGCUUCCUGCUGUCUGCCCGUCUGCCACUCUCGCCCAGCUCCGCGGGUGGGGCAGAGCCCGGUGGAGAGGGCAUCGGGCCUGGCGCCCCGCACCCUGCCCGGGCGCUGCCUCUUUUACUCUGUCUUUCUUCCUCUCCUGCCUGCCUCGCCCUGCCCUCCUGCGCCCCUGCACGCGCACCCGCCACCCGCAGCCCACCGACGAGAGGAGCUGGGUGUACUCCCCGCUUCACUAUAGCGCGCAGGCCCAGCCCGCCCCCGAUGGCGGCGGCGGCAGCGGCAACAACACAUAAUCUCUAUGCAGCCCCCAACCUGGAGCCGAGCGCCCAGAGCGCCCACGCCGCGUGCUGCUCAGAGGCGUCGCCUCCCCCCCGAGGCCUGGGGCCCGGAGACCUGGCCCAACCUCAUCCUCCUUCGUCCUCCGGGGACACUGAUGGCCGAGCCCCUCCCCACCCCGACAGCUCUGGGCCACAUGGCGACCUGGGGCGUGGCGCCUGGUAACCAGCUGCGCCCACAGGACGACGACCCCCAGAGCGUCACCGUGUAUUUAUUUUGGUCCUCACUCCGCACAGGACGGAAGCACCUGCGUGCUUUUUUAGAAAAAACAAACAAACAAACAAACAGGAAGAGAUUCCAGCGUUGCUCUGCGGCCGCCUGCCGCUCCAGGGACCCGGCCCGGCUGCCCAGAGCCCACACUCCAUCUCAGCCCAGCGGCCUGCGGAGGAGACCCGUGGCUGAGGGGGCAAAGGCCACCCCGUCCUCACCUGGAAGCCGGAUCCCCCUCCCUCGGCCCAGGUGGGGGCCCUUGCGAGGCACGACAUCCCUCGGCAGUGGCCUUCACACCUGUUUCCUGCCACUAGGAGGGACGGCCCGAGAAUGGGCAUCCAGCAAGAAGGUCGCAGCCCAGACCUGGCACUGGGAGCCCCCACAGCUGCUCCCUCCUGGCGGAGCCCAGGGCCAGGGGCGGGUAGAGGGGGACUGGCUGUCCCUGCCCAGCUCACUGGUGCCAGUGGAGAGGACCCCCUGGGGACACACCCCUUCAAAGCAGUGUCCAGCUUUGGGAGGAGAGGCGGCCAGACCUCCGGUCACUGGGCACCACAGCUGGCAUCCCAGUGAGGGCCAGGCUGUGCUCAGGCCUGCGUGGCACAUCAGGGCACAUGUGCCCCAGGGGGGUGACCCUCUUCAGGGAUGGCCAUGCAUGUUUCCACUUGUCAUCUCCAGCAGGGACAACUGCUCCUAGGGGGACAGUGACCCCAGAGCCCCAUGGGGCAGUCACCUGGGCCCCGCUGUGUCUAGAGGGGGCAGGUUGGAGCCACCACUGCCUCCCACAGGACCCCUGGAGGGGCUUGUUGGUGGCAGGGCCUCAGUGGGCACAGGGGGAGGGGACCUGCAGCAGAAGCCGCUCUGGCCUUUGCAGGGCAGAACGGCACAGGGACCAGUCCACCCAGGAACGUGAAAGCCUGUCCAUCACCUCGCGCCUCCCUGGCCGCUGCUCAGGCCCUCCUGGUCUCCCCCUGCAGCAACGGCAGGGAUCCGGUCAUCUCACGACCCUCACCUGGUGGCUGAUGCAGGGGCUCAGAGACCCCAUCAGGAGGAGCCUAUCUGGGGUCCCCAGUACCCGCCCGUCUCUGCCCAAGAAGGGUUUGUUUAGACAGAGCGUCCUUGGCCCUGUGUGCUGUCCCUGACAGUCCCUGCCCAUCCUCGUGAAGGACACCCCGCAGACGCCUUGGGGAUCGGGGCAGAGAUCACAAGGGGCAUUUAGGAUCUGGAUGACUCGCAGGCACAGCUGCGUGGUCACUGCACCUGGGUCCCCAGGGGGCUGGCACCAGGAACAGGAGCCUGUGGAGGUGGCCUGGAGCCGUGGGCACCACCCCUCGUGCAGCCAGUGCCAUCCAGGGUGACUUGGCAAGACAGGGAGUGGCUGCUGCAGCCCCUUGGGCCUGGGUGAUCAGAGGCCACGUGUGCUGGUGCGGCCACAGCAGGAGAGACUCAGAAGACCCCACGGACGUCAUGGCAGUUCCAUUUUUGUGUUAAGUGUCACAAAGAACCCCUUGGAGAUCUAUGUUGUGUAGUGUUUUUUUUUUUUCCUUUUGUGGACUGUCGAGCAGAUGUUAAAGUGCCCCUCUGAGCUUGUCAAGAGCCAUGUUUGCUUAUGAUUUGGGGAGCUGGGGGGAGCAAAGGCCUGUUUCUGAUGGUGGGUACACUCCUGGCCUUCCUCAGACUCCCCGUGAGGAAGGCACCGGGCCCACCAGCCGCCUCCCCUCCCAGGAGAUCUGUAAAUACUGUCGUGAUCUGCUGCCUGGCUUGGCCCUCUGAUGGCUACUACUGCUCAGGCUGUGGCCGGUGUCCAGAUGCAGCUGUGAAUCAUAAAGAACUCAGAGGCCGACAAGGUGGAGACUCCCACAAGUCCUCUUCCAGCCUCUGUCCCUUCUAAGCCAUUCCAAUGCGUCCCUGUGCACCCCCACACCUGGCUCAGUGCAAUACUCCUGUCCCAAUGGGGUCCCAUGCCAUGGUACUCUCGCCGCAGCCCCUCCUCGGUCCCCACCCCAGGACAACAUCCCCCCUCUUUUUCUCUGGUGGUUGAAAACUGCGUCCCCUGACCCUGCCCCGUCUUGUUUUUAUGGCCAAGCCAAUUCCAAAACAACUGCAAACCUUGUGUGUCUUAACUGUCACCGGGGGUUCCUCGUCCUCAGCCCCUGUGGUCUGGUGUGUGACAAUCCAGAGCAUGGCUUCCCAUGGCACUGACAAGGAGGCCGUGUCCCUCCAACCCAGAGUGCGGGGUGCCUCUGACAGUGCAGCUGCUGCUGGCCCCAGAGAGCACUUGUACGCAGCUCGGGCCCCACCCCCACCACUCCCCCCUUUUUAUGUUGAGGAUGUUCUAAUAAAUCGGGUAUGAACAUCGA